RNAcentral lists this ribosomal RNA (472 nucleotides) under Pseudocercospora macadamiae. RNAcentral describes it as "eukaryotic LSU rRNA". It matches the Rfam family "Eukaryotic large subunit ribosomal RNA", at positions 118 to 604 of the family's 3401-position model. Lineage: Eukaryota; Fungi; Ascomycota; Dothideomycetes; Mycosphaerellales; Mycosphaerellaceae. The record is from RNAcentral.
AAAUCUGGCGCAAGCCCGAGUUGUAAUUUGUAGAGGAUGCUUCUGGGUAGCGGCCGGUCUAAGUUCCUUGGAACAGGACGUCAUAGAGGGUGAGAAUCCCGUAUGUGACUGGAUUGCACCCUCCACGUAGCUCCUUCGACGAGUCGAGUUGUUUGGGAAUGCAGCUCUAAAUGGGAGGUAAAUUUCUUCUAAAGCUAAAUACCGGCCAGAGACCGAUAGCGCACAAGUAGAGUGAUCGAAAGAUGAAAAGCACUUUGGAAAGAGAGUUAAAAAGCACGUGAAAUUGUUGAAAGGGAAGCGCCCGCAACCAGACUUUGCGGCAGGGUUCGGCCGGUCUUCUGACCGGUUUACUCGCUGUCGUGAGUCCCUCAUCGUCUGGGACCGCUGGAUAAGACCUUAGGAAUGUGGCUCCCCUCGGGGAGUGUUAUAGCCUCUGGUGAUGCAGCUCGUCCCGAUCGAGGUCCGCGCUUCG